UGCCGGGAAGAGGGUGCCCGCCGGCGGGGUGGGGUGGGGUGGGGCACGCCGGGACUGGGAACCUGCGGCUGCGCAGACCUUGCAAAGUGACAGGGAGGGGGGGAGGGCGGGGUCGGCUGAUGGAGAAACUGAGGCAAAGGGUAGAACCCCUCUGCGCCGCAACCCUGUGAGCAAGGCGAAGUCCCAGGGUGGUGUCCCUGCCUACAAAAUCCAUCAUGGCACAUCACUGUGUCUACGUUUUGGCAUGCCCUUCCUUUUAACACACAACCUGGAAGGACAGAGAGAGACAGCAUGAGCAGGGGAGGAGCAGAGAGAGAGGGAGACACAGAUUCCAAAGCAGGCUCCAGGCUCUGAGCUGCCAGCACAGAGCCCGACGCGGGGCUCAAACCCACAAACUGUGAGAUCAUGACCUGAGCUGAAGCCGGACGCUCAACCGACUGAGCCAUCCAGGUGCCCCGACCUCUUCUAAUCUUUUUGUCAAGUUGAAAAAGGUAUGCAAAAAUGAAACAAACAUCCUUAUUCCUACCACUCACAAUUAACAUUGUCAACAGAUUGUUCACAGACAAGGCUGGGUGCUUCAGUGGAUUUAAGAAUCCCUUGCAUUAAUUUCCUC
Neofelis nebulosa (Clouded leopard) is the source of this 613-nucleotide long non-coding RNA. RefSeq lists it as uncharacterized. The transcript is spliced from 3 exons. Lineage: Eukaryota; Metazoa; Chordata; Mammalia; Carnivora; Felidae. The record is from RefSeq and is a predicted model, not a curated record.